RNAcentral lists this ribosomal RNA (550 nucleotides) under uncultured bacterium. Its description in RNAcentral is "bacterial SSU rRNA". It matches the Rfam family "Bacterial small subunit ribosomal RNA", at positions 355 to 896 of the family's 1533-position model. The record is from RNAcentral.
UGGGGAAUCUUCCGCAAUGGACGAAAGUCUGACGGAGCAACGCCGCGUGAGUGAUGACGGCCUUCGGGUUGUAAAGCUCUGUUAAUCGGGACGAAUGGUUCUUGUGCGAAUAGUGCGAGGAUUUGACGGUACCGGAAUAGAAAGCCACUGCUAACUACGUGCCAGCAGCCGCGGUAAUACGUAGGUGGCAAGCGUUGUCCGGAAUUAUUGGGCGUAAAGCGCGCGCAGGCGGAUCAGUUAGUCUGUCUUAAAAGUUCGGGGCUUAACCCCGUGAUGGGAUGGAAACUGCUGAUCUAGAGUAUCGGAGAGGAAAGUGGAAUUCCUAGUGUAGCGGUGAAAUGCGUAGAUAUUAGGAAGAACACCAGUGGCGAAGGCGACUUUCUGGACGAAAACUGACGCUGAGGCGCGAAAGCCAGGGGAGCGAACGGGAUUAGAUACCCCGGUAGUCCUGGCCGUAAACGAUGGGUACUAGGUGUAGGAGGUAUCGACCCCUUCUGUGCCGGAGUUAACGCAAUAAGUACCCCGCCUGGGGAGUACGACCGCAAGGUUG